Molecule: unclassified non-coding RNA, 347 nt
Filed under: soil metagenome
Description: partial contains 5.8S ribosomal RNA, internal transcribed spacer 2, and large subunit ribosomal RNA
Rfam family: 5.8S ribosomal RNA (bases 1-120)
Source: RNAcentral
GAUGAAGAACGCAGUGAAAUGCGAUAAUUAAUGUGAAUUGCAGAAUUCAGUGAAUCAUCGAGUCUUUGAACGCACAUUGCGCCCCCUGGUAUUCCGGGGGGCAUGCCUGUCCGAGCGUCAUUGCUGCCCUCAAGCACGGCUUGUGUGUUGGGCUUCCGUCCCUGGCAACGGGGACGGGCCCAAAAGGUAGUGGCGGCACCAUGUCUGGUCCUCGAGCGUAUGGGGCUUUGUCACCCGCUCCCGUAGGUCCAGCUGGCAGCUAGCCUCGCAACCAAUCUUUUUAACCAGGUUGACCUCGGAUCAGGUAGGGAUACCCGCUGAACUUAAGCAUAUCAAUAAGCGGAGGA